UACGGAGGGUGCGAGCGUUGUCCGGAAUCACUGGGCGUAAAGGGCGCGUAGGUGGCGGGACAAGCGUGCGGUGAAAGCUCGGGGCUCAACCCCGAGUCGGCCGUGCGAACUGUUUUGCUUGAGCACUGUAGAGGCAGGCGGAAUUCCGGGUGUAGCGGUGGAAUGCGUAGAGAUCCGGAAGAACACCGGUGGCGAAGGCGGCCUGCUGGGCAGUAGCUGACACUGAGGCGCGACAGCGUGGGGAGCAAACGGG
This 253-nucleotide ribosomal RNA is filed under the name uncultured bacterium. RNAcentral describes it as "partial 16S ribosomal RNA". It matches the Rfam family "Bacterial small subunit ribosomal RNA", at positions 524 to 776 of the family's 1533-position model. The record is from RNAcentral.